This 442-nucleotide ribosomal RNA is filed under the name uncultured bacterium. RNAcentral describes it as "partial 16S ribosomal RNA". It matches the Rfam family "Bacterial small subunit ribosomal RNA", at positions 338 to 795 of the family's 1533-position model. The record is from RNAcentral.
CCUACGGGAGGCAGCAGUGGGGAAUAUUGGGCAAUGGACGCAAGUCUGAACCAGCAACGCCGCGUGAAGGAAGAAGGCUUUCGGGUUGUAAACUUCUUUUAAGGGGGAAGCGCAGAAGACGGUACCCCUUGAAUAAGCCACGGCUAACUACGUGCCAGCAGCCGCGGUAAUACGGAGGUGGCAAGCGUUGCCCGGAUUUACUGGGUGGAAAGGGCGUGCAGCCGGGAAGACAAGUCAGAUGUGAAAUCCCGCGGCUUAACCCCGGAACUGCAUUUGAAACUGGUUGUCUUGAGUAUCGGAGAGGUAAUCGGAAUUCCUAGUGUAGCGGUGAAAUGCGUAGAUAUUAGGAAGAACACCAGUGGCGAAGGCGGAUUACUGGACCACAACUGACGGUGAGGCGCGAAAGCGUGGGGAGCAAACAGGAUUAGAUACCCUUGUAGUC